This 149-nucleotide small nucleolar RNA is filed under the name Phasianus colchicus (ring-necked pheasant). Its description in RNAcentral is "Small nucleolar RNA U3 (ENSPCLG00000016484.1)". It matches the Rfam family "Small nucleolar RNA U3", at positions 67 to 219 of the family's 219-position model. Rfam says of the family: Small nucleolar RNAs (snoRNAs) are involved in the processing and modification of rRNA in the nucleolus. There are two main classes of snoRNAs: the box C/D class, and the box H/ACA class. U3 snoRNA is a member of the box C/D class. The record is from Rfam by way of RNAcentral. Lineage: Eukaryota; Metazoa; Chordata; Aves; Galliformes; Phasianidae.
GGCGUCACAAACCACGAGGAGGAGCAGCGUGUUCUCUCCUGAGCGUGAAGCGGGCGUGCGGUGCUGCUUGCGCAGGAGCCGCUCGUCAUUGGUGACCGUUCCCGUCCCACGUGUUGGGUCUGGGAGGGAGAGAACACAGGCUGAGUGGU